This 1154-nucleotide long non-coding RNA is filed under the name Heterocephalus glaber (naked mole-rat). RNAcentral's name for it is "lncRNA (ENSHGLG00000044751.1)". The record is from RNAcentral. Lineage: Eukaryota; Metazoa; Chordata; Mammalia; Rodentia; Bathyergidae.
GCUUGUUUUUCUGUUUUGUUGAGAAGGCUGCUGUUUAACCUUAUCAAGAGUUUAAAGAUAAAUAGACCUUAAAAGUAAAUAGACUAUUACUGUUGGUAUUUUCCUGUGGUUAAAGACUGGUUGACUAAGACAAGAGAAAGAACAGGCUAAAAGAAAAACAAAAAAUAGCACUCAUUCAUUCUGUCAGUCAUGUAGAAGGAAAACCAAGAAGAGUGCAGGUUCUGGAAAGCCAGUGUAGAAAGUAUUUCACGUUUGGGCUGGGGGUUUAGCUCAGUGGCAAAUGGAAGGUCCUGAGUUUGAUCCCCAGUAUUGGGCAAGGUGUUGGGGGAUACUUCACUGAAAAAGAUCAAAUACACUCAUUAGACAGUUAAGAGCUGAGAGUUGACCACUGAAUUUAGUAGUAUGGUAGUCACUAGUAAUCUCGACAAGAGUAGUUGUGCUGUAGUGGUAGGGUUAGAACAUGACUGUAGUAGGUUGUUGUUUUGAGUUUUUUGGUACCAGGGAUUGAACUUGGGUCUUUGCGCUUGCGCAGUAGGCGGCAGAACCACUGAGCUAAAUCCCUGGCCCUUGUUUUCCUUUUUUGAGACAGGGUCUCACUAUGUAGUUCUGGCCUUGAACUCACUAUGUGACUCAGUAGUAGAGUGCAACUCUGGUGUUGAACUCACAAAAGUCCUCCUGCCUCAGCCUCCCGAGUGCUGGGAUUUCAGGCGUGCAUCACUACUCCUGGUGAGAACAAGUUGAAAGUUCAAAAUUAAAAACAAAAAAAAGGACUAGACAGGAACUCUAAUUUGAGAAAUGAUUUCUUUGAAAACUUGCUACCAGACUUAUUAGGGGUGAAAAAUUAGGCACAUUCUCUUUUAAAGUCAAGCAGAGAAAAUGAAUGCUUACAAUUAUAAUUUAUAUUCCAUGGUGUAAAUACCAAUAUUGUAGAACAAGAAAAUAAUUUAUGUAAGAAAUGGAAAGGAAAAUUGUCGAUUACAAAACCAAAUCCACAGGCAAAUCAUCUAAAUUUUGAAAAUGUUUAGCAAAAUUGCUUUUGAGACAGGGUCUCUCAUUAUUUAGUUGAGGCGGGCCUUAAACUCUGGCCUCAAACUCUCAGCAGUCCUCCUGCUUUAGCCUCCUAAGUGUUGGAAUUACAGGUAUGUAUGCACCAC